This 497-nucleotide ribosomal RNA is filed under the name uncultured bacterium. Its description in RNAcentral is "partial 16S ribosomal RNA". It matches the Rfam family "Bacterial small subunit ribosomal RNA", at positions 28 to 507 of the family's 1533-position model. The record is from RNAcentral.
GAUGAACGCUGGCGGCGUGCCUAAUACAUGCAAGUCGAGCGAACAGACGAGGAGCUUGUUCCUUUGACGUUAGCGGCGGACGGGUGAGUAACACGUGGAUAACCUACUUAUAAGACUGGGAUAACUUCGGGAAACCGGAGCUAAUACCGGAUAAUAUAUUGAACCGCAUGGUUCAAUAGUGAAAGACGGCUUUGCUGUCACUUAUAGAUGGAUCCGCGCCGCAUUAGCUAGUUGGUAAGGUAACGGCUUACCAAGGCUACGAUGCGUAUCCGACCUGAGGGGGUGGUCGGCCACACGGGAGCUGGACCACGGUCAAGGCUCCUACGAGAGGCAGCAGUAGGGAAUGGUCCGCAAUAGGCGAGAGCCUGACGGAGCGACGCCGCGUGAGUGAUGAAGGUCUUCGGAGCGUAAAACUCUGUUAUUAGGGAAAAACAAAUGUGUAAGUAGCUAUGCACGUAUUGACGGUACCUGGUAAGAAAGCCACGGCUAACUACGUG